Molecule: RNA transcript, 2803 nt
Organism: Sorghum bicolor (sorghum)
Lineage: Eukaryota; Viridiplantae; Streptophyta; Magnoliopsida; Poales; Poaceae
Gene name: pyruvate dehydrogenase (acetyl-transferring) kinase, mitochondrial
Exons: 7
Source: RefSeq, a predicted model, not a curated record
CACCACAGAUCCCUUCUCCGCCUCCGGCCGGCAGCCUUUAUAAGCGCAAGCGCGGCUCCGCCAUUUUGGUUCUACUCCGUGCGGUGCGGUGCGGUGCGGUGCGCUUUGCUGGUGUGUCCUCGACUCCUCGUGCAGCCUCGCUCGCUGGCUGAUCCCAAUUCCCACAGGGGGCCGGGGACUGGCGGCGGUUGACGGCUGAUAGAGUUGGCGCGGAGUGUGGGUGAUGGCGUCGGAGCCGGUGGCGCGGGCGGUGGCGGAGGAGGUGGGGCGAUGGGGGAGCAUGAAGCAGACGGGGGUGACCCUGAGGUACAUGAUGGAGUUCGGCUCCCGCCCCACCCCGCGCAACCUGCUGCUCUCCGCGCAGUUCCUGCACAAGGAGCUCCCCAUCCGCUUCGCGCGCCGCGCGCUCGAGCUCGAGUCGCUGCCCUUCGGCCUCUCCAACAAGCCCGCCAUCCUCAAGGUGCGGGAUUGGUACUUGGACUCAUUCCGCGACAUCAGAUACUUCCCUGAAGUGAGGAGCCGGAACGACGAGCUCGCUUUCACACAGAUGAUCAAUAUGGUCAAAAUGCGGCACAAUAAUGUGGUUCCAACAAUGGCUUUGGGAGUGCAGCAGCUGAAGAAGGAACUGGGCCACGCAAGGAAGGUUCCCUUUGAAUUCGAUGAUCAGAUCCACGAGUUCCUUGAUCGUUUCUACAUGUCAAGGAUUGGCAUCCGCAUGCUGAUAGGGCAGCAUGUGGCUUUGCAUGAUCCUCAACCCUCUGGUGUCAUAGGCCUCAUUAAUACAAGAUUAUCCCCAAUACAGGUGGCUCAAGCUGCUUGUGAAGAUGCCCGUGCUAUUUGCUUAAGGGAAUAUGGAUCAGCUCCUGAUAUUAACAUUUAUGGUGAUCCAAAUUUUACAUUUCCAUAUGUCACACAUCACCUACAUCUGAUGUUAUUUGAAUUGGUCAAGAACUCUCUCCGUGCGGUGCAAGAACGGUAUAUGAAUUCUGAUGAAGAUGUUCCUCCAGUUAGAAUUAUAGUUGCUGAUGGAGAAGAAGAUGUUACUAUCAAGGUUAGUGAUGAAGGUGGCGGGAUACCAAGAAGUGGCCUCCCAAGAAUUUUCACGUAUCUGUAUAGCACUGCAAAGAAUCCUCCUGAGCUAGAUAGACCUAAUGUAGGAGUAACUAUGGCCGGAUAUGGUUUCGGGCUCCCAAUCAGCCGGCUUUACGCUCGGUAUUUUGGGGGCGACUUGCAAAUCAUCUCAAUGGAAGGAUACGGUACCGAUGCUUACCUCCACUUGUCACGGCUGGGAGAUUCAGAGGAGCCCUUGCCUUGACGACAUAUUUCUGUGGCCCCCAAUACCACUCUUUCUCCUGUAAUUAUGCUGCUCUUCUUCUUGUAAUCCAGUGCUGGUCUGCGAAUAUUGUUGUAAUAGGCCAGCCACCUAUAGCUAUAGUUGGUCUCGAUCUUAUAGUCCGGCCCCUCAGCUCUGCAGCAUUGGGGAACACAGCACUGCUACGUCCUGCUUGCUUCUGCCAUGUAGUAUGAUCUCUCUGCCGGGUUUCAGGGGGAGAAAAAUAGAGAAUAGUAUGAUCCCUCCGUCGGGUAUCAGAAAACAGUAUGAUGAUCCCUCUGCCUCCCAGAAACCAGCGUUGCAAAUGGGGAGAAGCACCCGGACCUAUGCCGAUGAGCACAAAUUUGAGAUUAUUCUCAGCAGCUGCUAAUUUCAUAGCUGCAUCUCUUGUUGUACAGUAUAUAAUCUGGAUUUGGGCUUUGCUACGCUACUCCGUAGCGACGGUGGACUCUCGAUCUUUAUGGCAAUUAUCACGUAUUACCUUCUAGGAGGUUCAUCACACAAGCAACCAAGACAGACAGUACAAGCUGGGGCACCAUUGGCUUCAGCAACAGAUUAAGCUCUGCCCCACUUGCUGCUGCACUGUGUUGUCAGGCUUGAGUCUUAACAGUGUUUACAUUGUACCGGAGCCCAACACAGAAUCAGAAGAUCCCGUGAUGGAGAAGCGCUGGAGACAGACAGGGAUGUCUCAACCAACUUCAGUGCCAUUCUCUUGAUCACUUCCACAGAUUGAGCUCCCAUGGUCAUUGAUAAGCUCCGGUUUGUCAGCAGAGAGCCAAGCAAGUACGUUUUGGUAGCCAAAAUGCAGUGUCACCAGCAGGUAAGGCAGCAGCACGUUUUGGUUGGUGACAAGAUCUGAACUCAGACAUUGCCUGUUAUGCUGUUAAGAGUUCUGUCAGUCACUGGGCUGUGGACCCUCCCACGUGCUGGGACUGGAUAGAGCAGAACCUUCUAUUCUCCUCCAUGUGAGAUUUUCAUGGCACGCCUGCAUCUGCAGAGCAGAGCAGAACAGAACAUGGCGGACAGUUGCAACUUGCAAUUAGGAGGCAUGGCUGAGCUGCUGGGCUGCCGCAGAGGAUCACACAAGCUGCCGUGGAAAGCGGAGGAGCCCCGGCGGGCGGCGGCAGACCCACGAGCGAGAGCGAGAGCGAAGCAAACCAGCGAGCGGCUUUCCGCUCUCCCUCACCCGGUUUAUAGAAAGUUUAACCCUCGCAGCUUGGAUUAUUAGCUUUCCGGAUUCUGACUUUUGACGCGGCAGCUCCGGCUUUUGUUUCGCUUUGCCUGUCCUCCCGCGACGCAAAUUGUUCUUCUGCUGCUGCUGCCGCCAUCACGUGGUUGUGUUAUGUUUAUUGUUGCGUUGCUUUAGGUGCUCGGGUUAUGUACCUGUCGGUUGUCGUCUACUAAAUGGAAAGCCAUCUAUUCUGCGUGUGUGCGUGUACAGAACACAUGAUAACAGGCUCAAAAAAAAAA